AAUGUACCAACAAGAGCCCUAAUGUUCUUCACUCCCAAAAACCUACUGUUGCCUUUCCUCUUCGAGUAAGGCUUCCAAAGGAGCUCUUCCAUGGCAGAAGCUCUGCCUCUCCUUUUCGGGUAAACAUUUAAUGCACAUUUGUCUCCUUCUUCACAAGGAAAUGGUAACAAUCUCCUCUCUCUUCCUUUUUCAUUGCUUUAGUACAACUUUCGGUAGAUUGGGGGGAUUCAAUAGGAUUUUCAUUUCACUCUACCAAUUUGAAUUUCAAAAUUUUCAAAUGCCAGGCAGUCCCAUAUCGCUGGAAAUUGCUAAAAACCCUAGAAUUGGCCCUUUAUAAAUAGGACUCAUUUCUCACUUCACAGGGAGAGUUUUUUUUAACAACCCAAAGUUCUGAAACUUUGGUUACUGCUUAAAACAAGAGUUUUCCUCAUCUAAGCCGAGUUCUCGAAGUAUCGGAACAAGUUAAAAAGUUUUCGAGUUCGAGUCAAUUCAUCAUCAUUGGUGAAAGGUGAUCGACUCAACUUUCGUCAUCCUCGUCGCUGCCACUGAAAAAUGGAAUUUUCAAAUCCCAAAGGCCCUCGAGAUGUUGCUGAAACUCGAGAUGAUUUCCUGCUGCACUUGAGGCUUAAGCUUGCUGCAUCCUUAGAGAAUUAUUUUGUUGUGCUAAGGCAUCAACAGAUGCUAUGUCCUGAGAAACUACCCUUGAGCUGCUAUUUUAUUUGAUGAGAACAUUUUACUGGACAAUUGCCACUUCGUCCGAGAUGAUGUUCUUUAAGCUACUUGGCUGCUUUGUCCGUGGUUGCAUAUGGUUAAAUCACUACUACUUUUGAGUAGGUUGAUUUGUUUGAGUUGUUUAUUUCUAACCUCGCUGUUGCCAUGAGAAAUGGCUUAAAAUGUUGCUACAUUUUUAGGCAGUUUACUGCAUGUUUAGAUAUGCUUUGAUGAUGUUUUCUAGUGAGAUUGAUGCUGCCUUUGGUGCCCCUUCCUGGGGUAAAACAGUUGCUGUUUCGGGAGUAUUUAAAAAGCUGAAAUAUUUCUGUAGUUUGAGUUAAAUUGCUGCUAUAUUUUAAGCUGAAUUGCUGGUGUAUUUUGAGCCAAUCGCUGCUGCAUUUUUGGGCAAACAAACACUGCGUUUGGGGCCACUUGCUGCUGUGUUUUCUUGGAACAAUUGCUGCUGCAUUUUUUAAGCUAAAUUGCUGUUGGAUUUACGGCGAAGUGUAGAGAAUAACUACUGUCUAAUUGGACAUUUUACUGAUUGAACAUGCUACUACAUUGGGCCAAUGAAAAAAUUACUUUUGAGGCCAUACUUUGUCCGGAAAGGUUAUCUCUCGGUUUAGGCAUUGAUGACCUCAUAGUAGUAUCACGAGGUAGGAACGAACAUGCGUUUGGCGAGGCAACUAGAAUGGUCAGUAGUCUGCAGCCAAGACAUGUUUCAGAUUCCUUUGCCAGAUUCGGAAACAUGAGUCUGAGCCUUCGUAAUCAAAGCCCUCAAAGUGUGAUACGAGUCCGAGGGAUAUUAUUUGUUUUCAUAAACGUCACCCUACGGGGUGGCGUAUCAUUUUGACUAACUACUUUUCUUUCUAUUUGUGCGAGGUAUAAAUAAAGCGAACCAUGUUUAGCGAAGCUUUAAGACGAAGUGAAGAAUUGGAUGUUAGAGCUUCAGACGAAAAAACUAGAAGAGCAUAGGCUUGCUAAAGGAUUUGGGCCCAAGGCCGAAAAGCUAAGCUUUCUUUCCCUUCCUUUUAUUAUAUGUUUACUUUGGUUUUUGUAUGAACAUGUAAAAAUACAUUUGUGUAGAUAUUGAAACCCUUAUAAGUUAGAACCUAGGAUUUACAUAAACAAUGUUUCGAUUUUGACCCGAAAGCUAGUUGAAUUGCAUUUAUUUAUUAAAAGUAAAUAAAUUAAAAAGUGUUUUCUUAUACAAAAAUUUAUUAUCUUUAAAGUAUAUUGCAUGAUUCGAAGAGUAUGAAAAAGGACUUUUUUUUUUUGGAACUUAUUGGACUUAAGGUAAUAUUCAAACCUUUGGGGCUCGAAACCCAAACCUUAAGGUAAAUAAAACAGAGAAAUAUACUUGAACUAUAGUUUUUGAGGAUUAAGAUGGCUUUGGAGUAGUAUAUGGUUGAAUAAUGAGCUUCAAUGGAUCAAUAAGUAACAAGCAAACUCUUUUCUUAACUUAUACGUGUCAAAAUCUGUAGUAUUCCUAUAGAGGAGAUAUACUCCAUUUAUUUUCUUAUAUAUAAUAAAUAAACUUAUAAGGAAUAAAUCAUGACAUUGGGACCAAAUGAGUAGAAACUCUACUUGAGAGAAAUCUUAAGUGUGUUUUGGUCCGGGAAUGAAAUGAGUUGAACCUCUUAUAACAUUUUUCAAAAAGAAAACUAACUUUCCCCUUUAAAGGAUGUUUUUGCCCCAAAAGUCGGAAUUUAUGAUUAGCAUGACAAGUUUUUGUAGAAAAGAAACAUUUUAGCAAAUAAUCACAUUAAUCACACAUUGAAGCUCAAAGGUCAACCGUAUUCUACGGAUCCUUAAUACUAGGGUGCUUAAAACCUUCCCCAGGGGAUCACCAGAACCCUUACCUCGAACUCUGGUUUAAAAAGGAUUUUUCUUUAUUUGAUAAAACCUUUUAAACUCGGUUUUCCUAGUUUACCAAUAAAUUAGGUGGCGACUCUAAAAAAUAUAUAAAAUCCAAUUAGAGCUCCAACAACCUCGUAGUAGCUUUUAUGCCUUAACCCCCGUAAAAGUGAACCGUAACAGAUGGCGACUCUGCUGGGGAUUUUUCUAGGUUUUAACCGUAAGGGUUUCAAUAUAAUGUAAUAUAAUUGUGAUUAUUUGCUUAUUUGUUUACUUUCUUGCAAAAUAUAAACUGUCAUGCAUUCAUAUCAUAAAUUCCGCCACUCCUGGCAAAAAGCAUGGUUUCAAAGGGGACACGCGGGCUCGCGGUCUAGCCUUCACUAAAAAACCCGAACACCCCUUCUUUGGAACACAUUGAACGUUAAGUUGGUAUACGGUCACCUAACGGCCGACAACGGUUCACCCCGAGUAGUCCGCUCGGGUCCAAGGUCAGUUCAAAACACCCACUCUUGCAUAAGCCUAGGGUAGAGCUAAAACAAAUCCAAAUAUGAAGUAGACCGGGUGGUUUGAAUAUUUUAGACGUAUCCAAACCCGAGAGAAAGACUACCCUAUGUCAAGUACGGUCUAUGACCCAAAGACACCGCAUCCAACUAUGUGAAAAAAUUGAAGGAUGUACAUGCUGUUAUAAGAACCAUUUGUUCUUGGGGUCGGGAAUUUUUCCUUUACUUUUUAGACUUCAUCCAAGAGGAGCUUGGAAAGUUCGAAAGACGAUGGAGGACCCCGUGGUAGCUUAGUUUAGGAUUUGUGCCCCUGCAUGAGACUGAAAUUUUGUACACCUGUCCCACAUGCAAGUCGAACGUUGUUUUCGGGGACAAACGGGACGUCUUAACGACAUCUACACCGAAUAGGCUUAACUUUGGCUUAAAAAGGUCACACGCAUGAUUAGGGCGCGAUAUAUAUUGUUUAUCUGCUAUGUGCUAUGCAAUGUGCAUUUUAUGCCUAUUUGAUUCAUGUGCUUAAAUACAUCUAUUUUUCCUUGGACAUGAACAGUCCAUUAUUCAGUUCCAAGUCUUAGAAUGUCAUUAAGCACACAAAACCUCAAAGUCAAACUAUUUCAAAGUCCACCUAAAAUCACCCAAACUCCCGAAACCUUACAUAAAACUCUAAAUGUACCAAAUAUUCCAAGAAAAUACCACCCAGUCAUCGCCAAUUAUCGUUGACCAUGUCGUUCCCAAAAAAUCACCUUACUACAUCCCAAUGGUUGCCAGAGUCGCACCCCAAGUCCCUGAAACUUUGUGUAAAAAUCCAAAUAUUCCAAGCUCUCCAGAAAAAACCGUUCGGUCAUCGCCCAAUUAUCGUUGACCAGGUCAUACUUAUAAAUCACUUUAUUGUGUCCAAUGGUCGUCAAAGUUACACCCUUACGCUUUGAAAGUUCUACAUGUCAUGUUUUCUAGAAAAAACCACCCGGUCAUCGCCAAUUAUCAUUAACCAAGUCAUUCCUAAAAUUCAUUUUUUCCAUCCGAUAAAUUGCGAAAGUUGCGCCCGUCAUAAAUUUAUGUUAGUGAACUCAAUCAACUUAGAGUGAAUCACAGCCCGUAAUUUUGUUACUCCAAAAAAGAUUUCCAAAAACAGAUCCAUGCUCGAGUACAAAUGCUCGAACCUUAACGUGUCCAUUUUGUUAAAGUCAGUCAAUGACCAAAAUCCUGUCCAUUCAGUUAGCUACUUAGGUCGUCUUUUAAAGUCUUCCGUUUUGGCCGAAUUCUGGACUAUUAUGUUUCAGGCAAAACAAAUGUUACUUGCUUUAUUAUGACCAGUGGACUAAUGCUGUUACUUUUUGAUUUUUCUUUCUUUAUGAUUGACUCGUGGGGACCACCAAAGGUUUCUUUUACGAAACUCAAGUCACAGUCUUUUUUAGCCCACCUAGGCGCUACGCUUAAAAAAAGAGUUUUCUAUCCGUGUUCAAACAUCAAAAUGACCCAAUCAAGCAAACAGCUCCUUGCUUUUACGAAAAUCCAAGAAAAAAGGAACGCACUUUAAGUGACGUCCCUAAAUUGGCCAUUCAGCCCUCGACUCACACAACACUUGUCCCAGGGUUUAUAUUCCAGUUACCACCCGUCUGUCAUGACACAUUUAGUGGGAUCAACACGAGUCAAUCAUUUUUCUACUAAAGAAAUCUUUCUGUGAGCACAGGAACAAAAAGGAUACAAGGCAACGAGCCCCAAACCGGCGUCAAGAUCACAGAUCUUGAUCAAAGGCGCUAUUCAGGCCCACCACAGCCUCAUUUUGAUAAGCCAAUUGGCUUUAUCUCUAACUCCAUAUUCAAUUUUAUUCCUCUCACUUCAUUCUGUCUACUGACACUUGUUCUUGGAAUAUUACAGGUGAUGUAUAAGUUGAUAUCAGGAAUCAAGACUAUAAGGAGUCGCACGUCAACAAGCAAGCGCUUGAUAUAUCAAUCAAGCACGAAGAUACCGCUCAAACGUGCUAAAGAAUAGCACAACAAGACUAAGUGUCAAAGAUCAACGGCAUCGCUGGCCAAUCAUGAUCAUCACAAAGUGGUCGGAGUGGACUUCAAGCCUCCAACGACGAGCAAAAUAUCAAAAGAAAGCCUAUUCGACGGCACAAGCCUAACGACGACAUAUUUAACUCUACUCUCAAUUCUAAGAAAUACUUUGUCACUGCCUUUGAAUGCUUCAACGAUUUAUAUUAUGAAUUUUUCAGAAAUCAACGUCAAGUCUUCAACGACUUUUUCUUCACCAACAAACUGAGACAGUAUGCUAAAGAGGAAUACCGAACUCCCCAACAAGUCCCCUUUUUUCAGAGAUCAAAAUGACAGCGUUCUCAAAGCAAUGAGGAAACUAUGUCCAUGUAAAGUCUUACUUAUGGAUGUGUCACCAGCCACAUUUAUAAUUAAGAGGUUGUAAGCCUCUUUUUCCUAUGCUCGAAGGACGGACAUCACUUAUCUGUAGUACACCAUUACCCUAUACCUCGAACUACGUUCGACCGAUUCCCAUCAUUACGGGAUAUGUAGGCGCUCUUUGAGCUCGGUCAUACCAAUAAAAAACCUAAGAAACCCCUAUGAAGCGUCCGAGAUAAGACUUCAAGGAAAAUUCAGAAUUGGCACAAAGAGAUUAUUGCCACACAUGCCCAAUAGGGGAAGAAUUUUUGAGAAGAUCUCAAAAAAUCCGUCACAAGUCCGGCCCAAGAGUCAGCCGAUUUAAGACCCCAAACUGGGGCAGAAUUUUUGAGAGGGUCUCAAAAUUUCUUACAGAAAUUCAACGCAAGAUUCAGCCGAUUCAAAACCCUCAACUGGGGCAGAAUUUUUGAGAAGGAUCUCAAAAAUUCCUUCACAAGACUCGACACGAGAGGUCGCCUACACAGUCUUAACAGAGGCGGAAUUUUUGAGAGGGUCUCAAGAAAUCCAAUUUAAGGUUCGACACAGGACGUCGUCGAUACAACUCAAAAAUAGGGCAACUUGUUAAAGCAGUUCAGGCGAUCUCUACUCAAACUUCAAGAUACCCAAUCAAACAUCAAUGUCUAAGUUCCAAACAACCUUUACCGGGAAAUAUAUCCUCCCUUUAGAGAUCUCCAAAUAGAGUAGGGACACACCUUAUGUGAUGUCCCGAAAUCGGCCAUUUUAGCCUCCAAUGUCAAAUCCACUUCUCAAAACACGAAGUUAACAAAAGCACUGACCAAAGACGGAGAUUGUCGCAUCGAACGACUUUAUACCCAACUUUAGAUUUCAUUCCUUACUAACUUCUACACAAGAAUAUUUGCAGGUAACAUCGACAAGCAUCAAGGCUAUCGAUCAAGCUGAAGGGAUGCUUGAUAUGCCGAAUUGUACAUCGAGAUUAUCAAGACAAAAGAAGUGAACAUCAAGUCAUCGACGACCUUUCUUUGACCUUAAAUGGGAGAAAUUUGUUGAAGAGGAAUACCAAACUCUCCACUAAAAGCAAAGAUCUACAGAGUAUGGUCAAAGGUCGCCAAAACAACGGAAAGCAUGGCCUACAUCUACAACGAGUAAAGGAUGCUCGACGGUUUUGCAUAUGCCAUUAACCUUUCUAUAAGGUCUUUCUUAAGUUUGUUUUUACUACGGUCGCUGGCAAAGCGACAACGUAUCUACUAAAAUUUUCUGUUAGUACAAGUCGUACGAAUAUCAGAAUGAACUUUGAUACGAUUCAAAAUACAAAGAGGCAUCAAGGUAAUUAUCAUGAGGCGCUGAGGAAUCACAAACCAUGUCGAACACAAAGUUUUGGGUAUCUCAAUUUAUGUUUUACCCAAAAAUGGGACUUUAUUCCUUGUUUCCCUGCAAGUGGGAUUCUUACGGGACACUAAUCACCAACGUGAAAUGCUACCCGGCAAAACGGUAUGCUAGCCACUAAGGUGAGACGCUAAUCGAUGAAAUAGAAUUCUAAUCACCAAGGUGAAACCCUAACGAAAAAAUGGGACGCUAGUCAUCAAAGUGAGAUGCUACCCAAAUGAAAAUGGAACAAUCAUUUAAACUGUUUUGUUGAUUUUUUAAAUUGGCUUAUCCACCUUUAAGACUUCGCAACUACUACGUUGCAUUUCUCUACUGAUAAGUUUAUUUUAGAUUUUUGCAGUAGUUUCAAAAUGUCGUAAGGGUGAUAAUAUCUAGCCACGAGGGCUACAAAAAGAUCAAAAUGCCGCAAGGGCAAAUAUCUAGCCACGAGGGCUAUAAAAUGAUCAAAACGCCAUAAGGGAGAAUAUCUAUCCACAAGGGAUACAAAAUGAGCGAAAACACCAUAAGGGCGAAUGUCCAGCCAAAAGGGCUAUAAAGGAAUCGAAACGCUGUAAGGGCAAAUAUCUUGCCAUUAGGGCUACGAAAGAUUAAAACACCAUAAGGGCAAAUAUCUAGCCACGAGGGCUACAAAAUGAGCGAAAACGCCAUAAGGGCGAAUGUCCAGCCAAAAGGGCUAUAAAGGAAUCGAAACGCUGUAAGGGCAAAUAUCUAGCCAUUAGGGCUACGAAAGAUUAAAACGCCAUAAGGGCAAAUAUCUAGCCACGAGGGCUACAAAAUGAGCGAAAACACCAUAAGGGCGAAUAUCCAGCCAAAAGGGCUAUAAAAGGAUCGAAACGCUGUAAGGGCAAAUAUCUAGCCACGAGGGCUUUGAAAGAUUAAAACGCCAUUAGGGCGAAUAUCUAGCCACGAGGGCUACAAAAUGUGCGACAACGCCAUAAGGGCGAAUAUCCAGCCAAAAGGGGUAUAAAAGGAUCGAAACGCCAUAAGGGAAAAUAUCUAGCCACGAGGGCUUUGAAAGAUUAAAACGCCAUUAGGGCGAAUAUCUAGCCACGAGGGUUAAAAAAUGUGCGACAAUGCCAUAAGGGCAAAUAUCUAGCCACAAGGGCUAUCAAAGGAUCGAAACGCCAUGAGGGCAAACACCUGGCCAUAAGGGCCCACAAAGAACAAAAGGCCAUAAUGGCAAAAUCAUCGGCCAAUGGGGUCAUAGUAAAACAACGCGGCAUACCUGACCAAGAGGGUCACAACCAACAUAAAUGACGAAAGAAAGAUCAUCCGGCCACAAGAGUCAUAUCUGUUAUCUCUACCAUGUUUCCUAUUGCUAAAAGGGCCAUUGCACGUUUACUUUCCUACUGCUAAGAGGGUCAUUCAUACAAACUGCCAAGAAGGCUAUUGCACGUUUAUUUUCCUGCUGCUGAAAUGGCCAUUGCACGUUUACUUUCCUGCUGCCAAUAGGGCCAUUGCACGUUUACUUUUCUGCUGCCAAGAGGGCCAUUCAUACAAACGGUCAAGAGGGCCAUUGCACAUUUACUUUCCUACUACCAAGAGGGCCAUGGCACGUUUACUUUCCUGCUGCCAAGAGAGCCAUUCAUACAAACUGCCAAGAGGGCCAUUCAUACAAACAUGUCAAGAGGGUCAUUCAUACAAACAGGCCAAGAGGGCCAUUCAUACAAACAUGCCAGGAGGGCCAUGCAUACAAACUACCGGAUAUAGCAAGAUGACAAAGCGAUGUAAAAUCGGUCAAGAGACCGCAAUAUUCGCUCAAAAAGUCAAAGCGAUGUAAAAUCGGUCAUGAGACCGCAGUAGUCGCCCAAAAAAGAUAAAGCGAUGUAAAACCGGUCAUGAGACCGCAAUAUUCGCCCAAAAAAAGACAAAGCGAUGUAAAAUCUAUCAUGAGACUGCAGUAUUCGCUUUAAAUGUCAGAACGAUGUACAUCCGAUCAGGUGGCCGCAAUAUUCGUUUUCAAAGUCAAUCACAGUGUUACCCCGCAAAUGGAAACAAGUUAGCAGCUGCCAAGGAGAAGAGCAGGCUGGCCAGAGCAGAACCAGAUGCAUGCGGAGCAAACGUGGAACUUUUUCUUAGCAGCGAACCGGGGCACAUUGCAGAAGAGAGGAGCAGACUCUUCGGGCGAGAGUUAAGGAUCACCUUUCCUACCAUCAAACUACACCCCUUUUGAAGGGAUGUAGGUGUUUCUUUCGUGUCAAAACCAAUCCCCAAAAAGGCAAAGGUCGCUAUCUUUGAGUUUCGCAUUCAGUGUAAUCUCUGAACCUACACUGAGGCACUACUGAUUUUCUUUCAAAUCUAGGUGACGACAUACUUAAGGUAUACAAAAUUAUGUCCGUGCAAGGACUUAAUUACGAGUGUGAAGCAUGCCACAUUCAUAGCUUAGAAAUUGCAAGCCUCUUUAUCGUAAUCAAAAGGUCUGAAGUCAUCUAUCUCAAACCAAAGGCUACUUCCGCAUAAGGAACGCCCUUUUCUACCGAUCGAGUCGAACUACAUAUGGCCUGAUCCCCGAGGGUAGGGGUAUGUAGGAGAACUCACUGUCAGAGCUCGGUCGUAAUCCAAACUCCCCCCAAUCAUGUCCCAAAAUCCAAGUCUUAUAAAUUCAGCACACAGGGGCAAAUUUUGAAAGUUUUCAAAAAAAUCAAGUCGAACUACAAGUGGCCUGAAUUCUCAUAUAUCCUGAGAUGUUUAGGAAACCCAACGCCAGGGUCUGGCCAUAAUUUUCAAAAAAUCACAUGAGCUUUUUCACUUAAGAAAUGAGAAGAGUUGGUGGGUCAAAAAUCGGAUUUUGUCAAAUUUCGUUGCCCAAGGAUGGCUUCGCCAUCGCUGUACAACGAAGGGCCAGCUGUUGACAUCCAAUUUUUGCCCACCAAAAAUUCAAAUUAACUAGCCAAGCUUCUUGAAUUCCAAAUAGAGUAAAAGAAUUGGUCAGAAAAUUAAAAAUACUUUCUAAAAUAGCUUUUGGUGAUAUUUUGCCAUUUCAUUGGCGACGUAAUUUUGGUGAUAUUACGUAUAAGUUUAAGUAUAAGUUAUGUCAAUUUUAUCGAUUUGAAUAUGAAGUUGCAUAAAAAAAUAAGUAUUUUAAUCAAGUACGUUGUUUUUUAUCAAAAGUAAUUACUAUAAUUUGUCCAUUAUUAGAAAAACAAGUAUUUUUACUUUGUUGAAGUCAAGAAGUUUAAUUUAUUAAUUGGAUAAUAAUUUCAUCUCAAUUUUAUUUCAAACUGGUUUUACGGAAUGGUUUUAACUGGAAAGGCAUGAGUUUAAUUUGGCUAUUUCGCUAAAGUUUUGGCUACAAUUGAAACAAAAGGUUAUGAAUUAAACCCAAUAUUUUUCUCUCUUUUUUAAGCCCAGAAAUCUUCGGCCUAGUCCAAUAACCAGGCGACUCGACCCGCGAGCCAUUUUUAUCUCAAAAAUAUCCCUCUUUCACUUCAUUGGAAUUACACAAAAAUGUGCCAACAAGAGACCUAACGUUCUUCACACCCAAAAACCAAUUGUUGCCUUUCGUCUUCGAGUAAGGCUUCCAAAGGAGCUCUUCCAUGGCAGAAGCUCUGCCUCUCCUUUUCGGGUAAACAUUUAAUGCACAUUUGUCUCCUUCUUCACAAGGAAACGAUAACAAUAUCCUCUCUCUUCCUUUUUCAUUGCUUUAGUACAACUUUCGGGAGAUUGGGGGGAUUCAAUAGGAUUUUCAUUUCACUCUACAAAUUUGAAUUUCAAAAUUUUCAAAUGCCCGGCAGUCCCAGAUCGCUAGAAAUUGCUAAAAACCCUAGAAUUGGCCCUCUAUAAAUAGGACUCAUUUCUCACUUCACAGGAAGAGUUUUUUUUUUCUCACUUCAUAGGAAGAGUUUUUUUUUAAACACCCGAAAGUUCUAAAACUUUGAUUACUGCUUAAAACAAGAGUUUUACCUCAUCUAAGCCGAGUUCUCGAUGUAUCGGAACAAGUUAAAGAGUUUUCGAGUUUGAGUCAAUUCGUCGUCAUUGGUGAAAGGUGAUCGACUCAACUUUCGUCGUCCUCUUUUCUGCCGCUGAAAAAAGAUUGUUUCAGGUAAUUGAUCGAAGCAUAUGUGGAAAUACGCGGUGCCUAUCUGGAAGGCCUCCUCCCAUUUCAUUUCGGGAUGGAGGUUGAGUCUUAGAAUGUAGUGGUAAUUCUGAAAUCAUUAGACGCUUUUGUAUUAGUCUAGACUAGGUCAUGGGAAGUUGGAUUGAGUCUGUAUUUGUUACAUCAUUGUAAUUUUAUUGAUUCUUGAGUUUAUUGAAUAUUUUAUGAAGUUUUCGCUGAAUUUAUAAGUAUGUAUUGAUUUAAA
Lycium barbarum (goji berry) is the source of this 11127-nucleotide long non-coding RNA. RefSeq lists it as uncharacterized. The record is from RefSeq and is a predicted model, not a curated record. Lineage: Eukaryota; Viridiplantae; Streptophyta; Magnoliopsida; Solanales; Solanaceae. The transcript has 3 exons.